This is a small nucleolar RNA of Dicentrarchus labrax (European seabass), 138 nucleotides long. Ensembl annotates it as small nucleolar RNA, H/ACA box 29. Its record names the gene SNORA29. The record is from Ensembl. Lineage: Eukaryota; Metazoa; Chordata; Actinopteri; Moronidae.
AGUCCCGUUUCAGUACCUUCCACUCGCACCACCAUGAAUGGACGGCUAUGCUAACGGGACAGAAAAGCACUGUCACGGUCUGAAGGUGUGGCUAACAUACUGUGUACCGCACCAAAUAAGAUGACGGGACAUGUCGAU